UCGAACGGCAGCACAGGGGAGCUUGCUCCUUGGGUGGCGAGUGGCGGACGGGUGAGGAAUACAUCGGAAUCUACUUUUUCGUGGGGGAUAACGUAGGGAAACUUACGCUAAUACCGCAUACGACCUACGGGUGAAAGCAGGGGACCUUCGGGCCUUGCGCGAUUGAAUGAGCCGAUGUCGGAUUAGCUAGUUGGCGGGGUAAAGGCCCACCAAGGCGACCAUCCGUAGCUGGUCUGACAGGAUGAUCAGCCACACGGGAACUGAGACACGGUCCAAACUCCUACGGGAGGCAGCAGUGGGGAAUAUUGGACAAUGGGCGCGGCCUGAUCCAGCCAUACCGCGUGGGUGAAAAAGGCCUUCCGGUUGUAAAGCCCUUUUGUUGGGAAAGAAAUCCAGCUGGCUAAUACCCGGUUGGGAUGACGGUACCCAAAGAAUAAACACCGGCGAACUUCGUGCCACCAGCCGCGAUAAUACGAAGGGUGCAAACGUUACUCGGAAUUACUGGGCGUAAAGCGUGCAUAGGUGGUCUUUUAAGUCCGUUGUAAAAGCCCUGGGCUCAACCUGGGAACUGCAGUGGAUACUGUGCUACUAGGAGUGUGGUAGAGGGUAGCGGAAUUCCUGGGUGUAGCACUGAAAUGCAUGAGAAUCAGGAUGAACAUCCAUGGCGAAUGCAUCUACCUGGACCCAACACUGACACUGAAGCACGGAAACGUGUGGGGCAAAACAGGAUUAAAUACCCUGGUAGUCCACGCCCUAAACUAUGCCAACUG
RNAcentral lists this ribosomal RNA (770 nucleotides) under uncultured bacterium. RNAcentral's name for it is "bacterial SSU rRNA". It matches the Rfam family "Bacterial small subunit ribosomal RNA", at positions 62 to 818 of the family's 1533-position model. The record is from RNAcentral.